RNAcentral lists this transfer RNA (76 nucleotides) under Planctomycetota bacterium. RNAcentral's name for it is "Planctomycetes bacterium (activated sludge metagenome) tRNA-Ala". It matches the Rfam family "tRNA". From Rfam's summary of the family: Transfer RNA (tRNA) molecules are approximately 80 nucleotides in length. Their secondary structure includes four short double-helical elements and three loops (D, anti-codon, and T loops). The record is from RNAcentral. Lineage: Bacteria; Pseudomonadati; Planctomycetota.
GGGGACGUAGCUCAGUUGGCAGAGCGUCGCGUUCGCAAUGCGAAGGUCGUGGGUUCGACUCCCAUCGUCUCCACCA